AAAUUGAAGAGUUUGAUCAUGGCUCAGAUUGAACGCUGGCGGCAGGCCUAACACAUGCAAGUCGAACGGUAGCACAGAGGAGCUUGCUCCUUGGGUGACGAGUGGCGGACGGGUGAGUAAUGUCUGGGAAACUGCCCGAUGGAGGGGGAUAACUACUGGAAACGGUAGCUAAUACCGCAUAACGUCGCAAGACCAAAGAGGGGGACCUUCGGGCCUCUUGCCAUCGGAUGUGCCCAGAUGGGAUUAGCUAGUAGGUGGGGUAACGGCUCACCUAGGCGACGAUCCCUAGCUGGUCUGAGAGGAUGACCAGCCACACUGGAACUGAGACACGGUCCAGACUCCUACGGGAGGCAGCAGUGGGGAAUAUUGCACAAUGGGCGCAAGCCUGAUGCAGCCAUGCCGCGUGUAUGAAGAAGGCCUUCGGGUUGUAAAGUACUUUCAGCGAGGAGGAAGGUGUUGUGGUUAAUAAC
RNAcentral lists this ribosomal RNA (470 nucleotides) under Citrobacter freundii. RNAcentral describes it as "partial 16S ribosomal RNA". It matches the Rfam family "Bacterial small subunit ribosomal RNA", at positions 1 to 467 of the family's 1533-position model. The record is from RNAcentral. Lineage: Bacteria; Pseudomonadati; Pseudomonadota; Gammaproteobacteria; Enterobacterales; Enterobacteriaceae. RNAcentral also lists the same sequence under 2 other names.